CUGAGUUUAUUACACCCCCAGCAAGACACACAAGAAAUGUAACUGGACUGAUGAUCAUCACAAAUCAGUCCAGAAAAAAAAAAAAUUCAAAACACAUGCACGGGGAUCUUUUUUUUUUUUUUUUUUUUUCAAAGAAGCUCUGCCACAUGCAUUCCAAGAGGAACGUGGAAUUCAAGUUAGAGGGCUCUAAGUGGAAGAGAGAAGAGGCACAACCAUAUGAUUUGUGGUUGGAACAGAAAAAGGACGUCUGAUGUUCUCCUUCCUCCCCCUACCCUAAUGUUCGGCGCUUGGAGACGGACGGUCUGCUAAACUUAUCAUUUAACGUAGAGAAUCAAGUUGUUGAGACUGGCUUUUCUUCCAACCGGAUACCUGAAGGGUGGAGCAGGCGCCCCCUGUUCUGUCCCAGCAACCUACGAAGACUUCCGAACAGGAAGUAUUCAUCAAACAGAAAAGGAUAAAAAAUGAGUUUAUUCAUAAUGGCUAUUAUAGGCUCUGAAGUGUCAGUAACAUGCUGAAGGCGGGGCUCCCUGUGGUCCACGUUAAUCCACUACAGCUGAGGCUCAUUACCUGUGACGCCUUAGACAAGGACAAGAGACAAGAGAGGGAAGAAAACGAAGAGAUUAAUAUACACGUACAGAAACACAAGCAUAUUCAUAACAAAUAAAGAAGGAAUACUCAUGACA
This is a long non-coding RNA of Leopardus geoffroyi (Geoffroy's cat), 683 nucleotides long. RefSeq lists it as uncharacterized. The transcript has 4 exons. The record is from RefSeq and is a predicted model, not a curated record. Lineage: Eukaryota; Metazoa; Chordata; Mammalia; Carnivora; Felidae.